RNAcentral lists this ribosomal RNA (552 nucleotides) under uncultured Nectriaceae. Its description in RNAcentral is "eukaryotic LSU rRNA". The stretch from base 162 to 315 matches the Rfam family "5.8S ribosomal RNA". The record is from RNAcentral. Lineage: Eukaryota; Fungi; Ascomycota; Sordariomycetes; Hypocreales; Nectriaceae.
AACAGCGGAGGGAUCAUUACCGAGUUUACACUCAUAACCCUUUGUGAACAUUAUAACUUGUUGCUUCGGCGGCUUCUGCCCUUCGGGGCGUUGCCCGCCGGCGUUUCAGUAUCUCUGUUUGUACCCGACGAUACAUCUGAGUGUUCUUAGCGAACUAUAAAAACUUUUAACAACGGAUCUCUUGGUUCUAGCAUCGAUGAAGAACGCAGCGAGACGCGAUAUGUAAUGUGAAUUGCAGAAUUCAGUGAAUCAUCGAAUCUUUGAACGCACAUUGCGCCUUCCAGUAUUCUGGGAGGCAUGCCUGUCCGAGCGUCGUUUCAACCCUCAAGCCCUCGUGGUUUGGUGUUGGAGUCCUACAGUCUUGUAGUCUCCCAAAACCAGUGGCGGACCCGUCGCGGCCCUUCCUUUGCGUAGUAGCAUUCGCCUCGCAUCGGGAGCCCACGGGACUUUCUGGCCUCUAAACCCCCCACAAGUCCGCUCCGGCGGCACAAGGUUGACCUCGGAUCAGGUAGGAAUACCCGCUGAACUUAAGCAUAUCAAUAAGCGGAGGAA